Molecule: long non-coding RNA, 674 nt
Organism: Cyprinus carpio (common carp)
Lineage: Eukaryota; Metazoa; Chordata; Actinopteri; Cypriniformes; Cyprinidae
Exons: 6
Source: RefSeq, a predicted model, not a curated record
UUUGUCUGUCUGAUUUGGUUCAAAUAUAGCCCCAAAAUCUAUGUUUAAUAUUAGGUUUUGUUUGGUCCAUCUGAUUUGGUCCAAAUUUAGGCCAAAAUAAAUGUUGAAAUAACAGUGAAAUUCUGCGUGACUUCUACGUGCUGUAAUGGGCGCGCGCGCUGAACUGGAGCGGAGGACGUCACCAUGGAAACGAGGCGGCAGCCCAACCGUCAAGCAGCUGAACGCUGACUCUCAGUGUGGUUUUCACUAUUGUUUUUUAGAAAUGGUUUAGUGUCGUCAGAAAAAGUCCGUUAGCAUCUCCACUGUAAGGCUAACUACAAGAGUAUGCUUAUGUUCUUGGUUCUUCCAUGCUGAUGGCUGUGCUCUAGAGUCAUAUCUCCUGUCGAAGAACAUUUUUAGACAUUAUGAACCAUGAAAAAGUUUAGCUCCAACCCCAGUUAAGCAGAUCGGGGCAGCUGAUCAAGGAUCACCAGAAACUCUGCAGAACAUUGGUCCUCCAGCCCAGGACUGGACACCAGUGUUAGUGUCUGUCUCAGAAGCUGAAGAAAAGAGGCCACACCUCAGAGGAAAUAAGCGCCUCCUAAGUGUACGGAAAUACCUGGCUGAGAAGAUCAGUGACAUAAACCAGAUAAAACUGUCAGUGGUCUAAGACAGCUACAAUGAAGCCACAAAAU